This 1040-nucleotide ribosomal RNA is filed under the name Phellinus sp. YD-2015. RNAcentral's name for it is "eukaryotic LSU rRNA". The stretch from base 361 to 514 matches the Rfam family "5.8S ribosomal RNA". Lineage: Eukaryota; Fungi; Basidiomycota; Agaricomycetes; Hymenochaetales; Hymenochaetaceae. The record is from RNAcentral.
GGAGGGCGACCGUUCCCAAGUCUCCUGAUCUUGGUCAUUUAGAGGAAGUAAAAGUCGUAACAAGGUUUCCGUAGGUGAACCUGCGGAAGGAUCAUUAACGAGUUUGAAAUCGAGAGCCUGUUGCUGGUGCGGAAACGCACAUCGUGCACGGCUCCCGUGCUCAAUCCAUUUCAACCCCCUUGUGCACCUUAUCGAAGUCAGUAGUCUUUCUCUUUUUGUUUGCCGGUUGUGUGUGGGAACCUCUUUCUGUUCACUUGGCCGGCGAGGAGAAACAGAGGGUCGAAAGCUUUGACUUUUCUAUUAAACACUUUGUAUGUCUUGUGGAACGUAUUAGCUCCUUUGUAGGGGCGAAAUAAAUACAACUUUCAACAACGGAUCUCUUGGCUCUCGCAUCGAUGAAGAACGCAGCGAAAUGCGAUAAGUAAUGUGAAUUGCAGAAUUCAGUGAAUCAUCGAAUCUUUGAACGCACCUUGCGCCCCUUGGUAUUCCGAGGGGCAUGCCUGUUUGAGUGUCAUGUUAAUCUCAAACCCCUUGUCUUUUUUGUUGACUUGGUCGGUUUGGACUUGGAGGUGUUGCUGGCGUGUGUACGCAGUACUAUGUGUCGGCUCCUCUUAAUUGCAUUAGCUGGACUUUGGUUCGCAUUUGACGGUGUAAUAGUAAAGUGUUCGCCGGGCGUGCUUGCCUAACGGGUCUGCUUCUAAUCGUCUUCGGACAACUCUGUUCAUUUUGACCUUUGACCUCAAAUCAGGUAGGACUACCCGCUGAACUUAAGCAUAUCAAUAAGCGGAGGAAAAGAAACUAACAAGGAUUCCCUUAGUAACUGCGAGUGAAGCGGGAAGAGCUCAAAUUUAAAAUCUGGCGGCUUUCGGUCGUCCGAGUUGUAAUCUGGAGAGGCAUUUUCCGCGUUGGACCGUGAAAAAUUUUCUCCCNGAAUNUUGGUUAUUUAAGGGAAGUAACCGAGCAGAGGAUCAGGGUGACGUAUUCUUGGUCAUUUAGUAGGAACUACCAGGCCGGGACGAGACGACGUGAUCUGAUGCUCG